GAUGAACGCUGGCGGCGUGCUUAACACAUGCGAGUCGAACGGAAAGGCCCAAGCUUGCUUGGGUACUCGAGUGGCGAACGGGUGAGUAACACGUGGGUGAUCUGCCCUGCACUUCGGGAUAAGCCUGGGAAACUGGGUCUAAUACCGGAUAGGACCACUUCUUGGAUGUUGUGGUGGAAAGUUUUUUCGGUGUGGGAUGAGCUCGCGGCCUAUCAGCUUGUUGGUGGGGUAAUGGCCUACCAAGGCGUCGACGGGUAGCCGGCCUGAGAGGGUGUACGGCCACAUUGGGACUGAGAUACGGCCCAGACUCCUACGGGAGGCAGCAGUGGGGAAUAUUGCACAAUGGGCGCAAGCCUGAUGCAGCGACGCCGCGUGGGGGAUGACGGCCUUCGGGUUGUAAACUCCUUUCGCUAGGGACGAAGCGUUUUUGUGACGGUACCUGGAGAAGAGGCACCGGCUAACUACGUG
This 468-nucleotide ribosomal RNA is filed under the name uncultured bacterium. RNAcentral describes it as "partial 16S ribosomal RNA". It matches the Rfam family "Bacterial small subunit ribosomal RNA", at positions 28 to 507 of the family's 1533-position model. The record is from RNAcentral.